AUUGAACGCUGGCGGCAGGCUUAACACAUGCAAGUCGAGCGGGGUGAUGGUGCUUGCACUAUCACUUAGCGGCGGACGGGUGAGUAAUGCUUAGGAAUCUGCCUAUUAGUGGGGGACAACAUCUCGAGAGGGAUGCUAAUACCGCAUACGUCCUACGGGAGAAAGCAGGGGAUCACUUGUGACCUUGUGCUAAUAGAUGAGCCUAAGUCGGAUUAGCUAGUUGGUGGGGUAAAGGCCUACCAAGGCGACGAUCUGUAGCGGGUCUGAGAGGAUGAUCCGCCACACUGGGACUGAGACACGGCCCAGACUCCUACGGGAGGCAGCAGUGGGGAAUAUUGGACAAUGGGGGGAACCCUGAUCCAGCCAUGCCGCGUGUGUGAAGAAGGCCUUAUGGUUGUAAAGCACUUUAAGCGAGGAGGAGGCUUACCUAGUUAAUACCUGGGAUAAGUGGACGUUACUCGCAGAAUAAGCACCGGCUAACUCUGUGCCAGCCGCCGCAGUAA
This 503-nucleotide ribosomal RNA is filed under the name uncultured bacterium. RNAcentral's name for it is "partial 16S ribosomal RNA". It matches the Rfam family "Bacterial small subunit ribosomal RNA", at positions 30 to 523 of the family's 1533-position model. The record is from RNAcentral.